UUGGUGGAAUGGGUCGUUAUCGCCGUUUAUUUUUACAACACGUUAUCAGCACGAACCGAUUAGAAUCUUGGAUAUCACUUGAGGUAACACAUCUUUACCUCUUCAUUAUCUAACAUCUCUACAUUUUAUUUUUAAGUAUGUCAAACAUUACCAAGAGAGAGUUUGCAACGUUAGAUAUUACCGGAAGUAAUUAUCUAACAUGGGUUUUUGAUGUCAAGAUACACUU
Molecule: long non-coding RNA, 226 nt
Organism: Rhodamnia argentea
Lineage: Eukaryota; Viridiplantae; Streptophyta; Magnoliopsida; Myrtales; Myrtaceae
Exons: 3
Source: RefSeq, a predicted model, not a curated record